UAACUUUAUUAACUUUCAUGAUUACCAUUUUUACCAUUUGAUUAUCAUGGCAAUAUUUGGGUUCUGGUUGUAAAAUAUUUUUAGGUUUCCAAUUUGAUCUUUUUUUGUAGUCAAAAAACAAUUUAAACCAUCAAAAAAUUGUUUCAUGUUGACUGCAAUUUGAUUAAUUUUAUGAAAAAUAUCGGAAAAUGUUGAAUAGCAAUAGACUUGAAGUAGGCAGUAAUUGUAUCUUGUUGGGUGCGACGAAAGUUGUUACGUGAGUUUGCUGUUUUGGCGAUGUUUGCGUCGACUAUUUGUGUGUUUGUUUUUAUGCUCAAAAGGACAACUAGUUGAUUCGUUGGUAAAUGGUGCAAAAAACAGGUCAAACUCGAGAGCAGAACAUGAAAGAGAGACGAAGAGAGUGAAAAGUUCAUCUUGAGGUAAAAUGUUUUUGCUUACUUUCGUAACAUUUUCAGUACCUUUUCAAAGUACUUUACUCGUAAGGCCAAUGAAGUUUCAUCCUCAACUUUUCUAUUCAUUUCUUUUAUUCUCUUUUUUCUCUCUCUCUACCUGUCUUACAUUCUUGAUGACCGUGACCCUUAAACGUUACUGGUCAUUCAUUUUUUCACUUUCUCGUCUUUCUUUGUUGGUUAGAGUAAAAGGUAAGGAAAAGAGAAAGGAAAAUGAGUUGACCUGUAAGGAAAAAGCGAAAGAGAAGAAGAAGAGGAAGAUAGAAGUAAUCAUUUUACGUUACUUUACCUGUAUCGAAUAAAUCUCUUUCUUUUUCACCUGAUAAUGGUGACUUUUUUAAAUGAAAAUGAAUAAGGAAAAAUUUCAACCUAAUAACAAUAAAAAGACAUAUUUACUUUCAUCAACAAGAAGCCAAUCAUUUAUGUUUAAUGCAACAUGAAUAGUCUGAUUGAAACCGGGAAAUGAAAUAAUUAACUAAUGCUUAUAAUUCAGUGAAAGUUAUACAGGCUAUCGUUGAAAUUAUCACAGAUGCAAGUUUAGGUAACCAUUUUUUGGUUGAUAAAGUGAUUAAAAUGGCGAUGCUUUUUGUUUGCCAACUUUGACAAUAAACUGAUAACAAUGAAAAGAAGACAAUUGACCCUGAUUUAACAAGUAACGACAUUACAAAUAUAAGUUAUAAUGAUGUUGAUACAAGCAAAUAAUUCUAUUAAUGAUCAAGAAUUAAAGUGAAAAUGAGACCAGAAAAAAAAAGUGAAAAAAAUUUGGUAAAACUUGAAAAACAGCAACAAAAGUGAACACGAGCUUGGAUGAAAACAGGUAAAGGUUAAGGCUAAUGGAUCAACAGCAUUCUAAUGGGUUACGCAGUUAAUUUAAUUGCUCUGAUUGGCUUAACAAUUGAACAAAACCUAAAAAGGCAACCUUUUUGUUAAACUUGAAAUUUUUGCUAUCAGUUCAAAUUUGUUCAUUUUCAAAAAAUGUAACAAUAAUGGUUAGACAGGUUCAACAUUCAACCAGAAUGAGAAAUUCAAGUUUUAGCUGUUUAAUAAAAAUUGCAAAUUUACUAAUCAUUAUUUCAACUGACAAAAUGUUACUCUUUCAAUGUUUAGGUUAUGAUUCAAAGGCUAAAAAGGUUGAAGGAAAAUUGAAAAGCUAAGAUUGAUAACAUUUUGUCUCUUCUUUGUUACCAGUUUAAUCAGAGUUGAAGGUUACGAAAGGGUAACAUAAGCGUUAUUAACAAUGGUACCAGUAACCCUUGGUAACCAGAAAGGACGAGAACCUUUCUUUUCCCUCCAUUUUACUGGUUCAACACUUGUAGACGAUGCACGUUGGAAAAAUGCUGUUAAACCAGAGCCUCUCGGUUUGACAUUGAUUAAGAACUAAAUUAAUCAAUCAUUUCUACAUUUUGAUUUCUCGGUGAUUUCACCUUUUAUUGAAACUAUCAUCUAAAGUGACAUUUUAUUUCUCAAAAUUCUGGUCAACUUUUUCCACUGGACUUUGGUUUUUACAUUUGUUGUGUUGUUUAUUUAUCGAUACCAGCGAUAAGAUUAUAUUAAAUGAAUCUUUCAAUCUUUAGAAAGCAGAAUAGGCCAAAAAGAAGAAGAUUUUGUUCGUUCGUUCGUUUUGCUGUUGACGGAUCCGGAUCGUUAUUAUCAUCAUCGCCGUUUGUGUUUACCUUUCGUUCUGCUUUAUAAACAGUUACUGUUUUUGGUUACAAGUUAAUAACAAAGCAAGUUGGUUAAACAUUCGCCUACUUAAAGUGAUAAUUUUUUCAUUUCACCCCUUUCUCUUUCUUUUCUUUCAUCAAUUGAAUGAACAACUGGGAAGAGAAAGGUAAGCUACUGAUGAGCAAAGAAGAAGCAAAAGAAGAUUGGCGCGACUUUGAAUGUCAAAUUGAUCAGGUCACUAAUAGUGCCUGAAACUGGGUUACUAUUUGCUCCUCUUUUUUUUCUUUCAAAAUUUUUCUUUUGCCCUUUUUUGCUUCUCUUUCAAUUCUUACAGAAUAAUAUUUGACAUCAAAAUGGAAACAAAUAAAUUUUCGAUUUAAAAAUAAAAACUUGAUAGCAAUCGUAACAUAGAACAUGAUAACCUGUAAUUAAAACAAUUAGAGCACUAAAUCAAAGGCACAAAAACCUAAACACACAAGCAAGUCCUGAAUAAAAAGAGAGAGAGAGAGAGCAAGAUAGACAGAAAGAGGAAGCGAAAGAGAGAAAGUAGAAAAUAAUUUCCUAAAACAUCAUAUGAAGCUUCAAAUCGACUAAUUGAUAAUUAAUGAAAAGGUACAGAUAUACAUAUAAAUUGGUAAAUACUAGUAUCAAAUUUACAUUAAAUUAAUGUCUCGCUAAAAUAUAAAUUAACGCACUCAAAGUAGGUUAGUAAAAAGUGUAUCUUCCCGACCAAACACAAGGUGUCUCUGCAACGUGAAACUUUUCAUGGUGAUAAUGAUGAAAAUGAAGAAGAAAAAGAAGGAGAGAGAAGAAAUAAGAAAGGAAAGAAAAGGCAACAUCAUGUAACAAACAAGAUUCAAAUUGGUAAGAUAGAGGAUGCGUCACCAAGCAACCUUUGCUUUGAUGGAAAUACUUUUUUUCACAAAAAUAAGAGAAAAAGAAAAAAGAAGAGAAAGAGAAAGAAAGGAAUUGGAUGUUAUCUGUUAUGCUAUAAUCAAAAUGAAAAGAAGAGGAAGAAAGAGAGAAGAGAAAGAGAAAGAUUCAGCAAAAAGAAGCUUUGAGGUUGUUUCUUUUUUUCAUGGUUUGGAAAAAAAAGAAGGUUGGAUUCAUCCUUGAUGUGCCCUUGGAAACCAAAUGAGUGCAUCGCCCUAUUAGGUUUCCAUGGUGACCGUCCUAAUUCAAGGACAGGAGAGUGAGCCAGGCAAGAAGAGAGUGAGUGAGAAAAGUGGAUUCAGCGCUCAAUGAAUAACCUCAUUGAGAGCAUCGAACGACUUCAAGGUCUUGCCUGCUCACUCGAUAUCUCUUCACUCUCUCAACAUCAACUUCAAUUUCUAGUUUUAUAAUCAACUUCUCUUUCUUCAUUUCUUUCCUUACUUUUCUCUCUGUCUUCAAUCUCUUUCUCUCUUAUAUCCUGUUUCACUUUUUCCUUCUUCUCUUUCUUUUUCCUCUUUCUUUCCAACUCCCUCUUUCAACCAGAUUCUAGUUUUAUUAUCAACUCUCUUCUCUCUUCUCUCUCUCUCUCAUUUAUCCUUCACUUACACUUUUCUCUUUCUUUUAUGUUUCUAUCAAAACUUUCCCGUCUUCCUUUUUGUCUUCAGCCUCCCCCUUCUCUCUCUCUCUCUUUCUCAAUAUCUUUCUUCCUUCUAUUGUUCCUCUCUCAUUAUUUCCUCUUUUUGUCUCUGUCUCUUACAUUCUAUCAGUGUCUCUUCUCUUCCAUAUAACAGUCAAGGGCAAAGAGGGAAGAGGAAUCAGAGAGAGUGAGAGAGACAUGAUAAAUGUAGUUUCUAUCGAUCUUUUACUUUCUCUCUUUUUACUUUCUUUUUUCUUCCUCUCUCUCUCAAUGUUUCAUAAAUAUAUUAAUCAGCAUAUUUACGCUAAACUAAAUAAUACGACUGAUAUACUGAUAAUAAAGGUUCUUCCGGUUCAAGCUCAUUGUUUUGUUUUGUUUCAUCAGUUGCGUCUAUUUAAUCCUAAAAAUUCAAGUUGAUUGCUCAAAAUUUAUCGGAAAUUAAAAAAUUGAUAAAAUUGAAGAAGAGAUAAAAAGUAAAUAACAAUAAUUGUAAUUUCAUCCCGACUGAUAAUUACUGACACAUUAUCAUAUCUCUCGAGCUCUUUCCUUACUUUUGCAACGAAAACAAAAUUAUUCAUAUCAAAGUAUGAGUUUUUUUUCUGUCAAUGAACAUAAUCAUGAACAGAGAAUGAAAAUUCGCCUGAAAAUAAAAAUCAUUAUUGCGAUAUCAAGAGAUGGAAUAAACAAAGGAAUGAAUAAAUAGAAAAAAUAAUUUCUUUUCUGUUGAGAAUUGGAAUCAUUUUCGAUUAUCAUUGAAAUGAUAAAAAAAAUAAUAUCAAUCAAAGUUGAACAAGAAUGAUGUUGAAAUGCUGUUGAUUUGAACCAUGAAAUUGGCAAAUUAAUUUGUUCUUUUCAGUUUGUUUGCAAUAUUAAUUGUAAUCA
Molecule: long non-coding RNA, 4566 nt
Organism: Tetranychus urticae (two-spotted spider mite)
Lineage: Eukaryota; Metazoa; Arthropoda; Arachnida; Trombidiformes; Tetranychidae
Source: RefSeq, a predicted model, not a curated record